GUUGGAACAAAAUGUGUUUCACAAUGAACCUUAAUGAGUUUUGAUGAUAACAAGGUAUUAAAAAUUGUCAAUUGGUUAUUACUAAUUAUUGUUCAAGUGUACAGGACCAAAGGCUAGUCAAGUAAUUUCAAUAGGUCUUGGAAGAAAAAUGGAAAGCAAAAGAAUUCUAAGCAUCUGAAGAAAACUGCGUCUGAAGCUAGAGUGCUCCUGAAGCUGAAGUGCUUCUGAAGUGAUGAC
Molecule: long non-coding RNA, 237 nt
Filed under: Medicago truncatula (barrel medic)
Lineage: Eukaryota; Viridiplantae; Streptophyta; Magnoliopsida; Fabales; Fabaceae
Description: long non-coding RNA (MTRU_LNC003482)
Source: RNAcentral